UUUUAUAUAGUUUAAAAUAAAACAUUAUAUUUUCAUUAUAAAAAAAAAGAUUUAGUUCUUUUAUAAAAU
RNAcentral lists this transfer RNA (69 nucleotides) under Endochironomus albipennis. RNAcentral's name for it is "tRNA-Glu". The record is from RNAcentral. Lineage: Eukaryota; Metazoa; Arthropoda; Insecta; Diptera; Chironomidae.